AGUGGCGGACGGGUGAGUAACGCGUGGGUAACCUGCCUCACACAGGGGGAUAACAGUUGGAAACGACCGCUAAUACCGCAUAACCCGCUGGUAUCGCAUGAUACUGACGGAAAAGAUUUAUCGGUGUGAGAUGGACCCGCGUCUGAUUAGCCAGUUGGCAGGGUAACGGCCUACCAAAGCGACGAUCAGUAGCCGGCCUGAGAGGGUGAACGGCCACAUUGGGACUGAGACACGGCCCAAACUCCUACGGGAGGCAGCAG
RNAcentral lists this ribosomal RNA (260 nucleotides) under uncultured bacterium. Its description in RNAcentral is "partial 16S ribosomal RNA". It matches the Rfam family "Bacterial small subunit ribosomal RNA", at positions 94 to 354 of the family's 1533-position model. The record is from RNAcentral.